AUUGUUCGUUUAAAAGUAUAAGAUUGUAUUAUAUUCCAUGUACGGGCAGAAAGUUUCAAUUUCUAACUAAACGUAAUGUACUCGUAUAGCCUUCCCAUCAGUUGCUCAUACCAAGCGCCCCAGUCUUAUAAGAUGUGCUUGAAUUUGAUAUAAUUAUUAUUGUUGCACAGCUCAGCACAUAAUAUGUGCAGUGCAGUGCAUUCCAACUUUCAUUAUCAUUUAAUAUGUUAUCUUUUAUUCGAGAUACCGUUAGUACAAACUCCGUGUUAAAAAAAAAUUGAAUAAAGAAUAAAUAUGGAAAAAUUAUAAGUAUCAAAACUAUUUGUCAGUUAUUUCUUAAUUGCAUUGCAUGCAUAUUUUACGUAACGUACUUCUUUAAAUAUACUUACUAAUAAAUGAGACUAAUUACUAGGAAAUCAAAUCAAAAUAGACAAUUUCGUAUUAAAUACAUAUUAAAUACCACACAAAUAAAUGAAAUAAAUACCUCGUUCUCAAAGUAUUGCUUUUAUAAAAUUUUGUAAGGAUUGUAGCGAAAACGAAAAAGUAGCGGUAAAACAUUUAAGUUGGUAACCCUGACGCCCCUUGUGACGCCACGACAAGCGAGCUGCGAGUGCGCCACCAGUCCGCCAUCUUUCUUACCUUUUUGAUUGUUGACUUGUAAAUUUUGUAAUUAGUUUUUGCCGACGUCCACCGUGCCGUUUUUUAAGUAAUUUUUGGUAUUUUAAAAAUUGUGUUACUUUAGUGGACACGUGGAGACAUGGACGCUGACUGUUGGAAGAAUUCGUCAAUUCAGACUGGCGCAAAGAGCUAUCAGGGCGCGAUGCCAGGAAUUUCAUUGCGAGACAGAAUUCGAAAUGAGGAUAUUCGCCAACGCAAUAAAGUUACCGACAUUGCAAAAAGGAUUAACUCAAGUGGGAAUGGACCGGCUAUAUUUUUCGCAGAGAUGACGAUCAAUGGGGUCGCCUAGUAUUGCUGUGGAGACCUAGCCUGGGUGGCCGAGGUGGCGGGAAACCACGAGCAGAUGGUCGGAUGACAUCAAAAAACGGCAGGGCCCACCUGGCACAGAACCGUCACAUAUAGAACGGAGUGGAAACCCACGGAAUGCAGACCAGGAUCAUAUACUUUAGGUAUGAGUUUGUUACUUUUGCUCAUAAUAACAUGGAGUAUGUCACAGCUGCUCCACGGGCUGCAUUGAAGGGCAACAGGAGCGAAAAUGGAAAGGAGCUCCCCCUUUCAAUUAGAGAAUCUUAGGAUAUGCUAAGGCAAACAGAAGGAGGCAAGGAACAGGACUGCAUCAAUUGCUGUUUGGAACCAAUCUUGUGGGAUGACUUCUGGACAGGGAAAAAACAAUUUCAUCAUCUACCCUAAUACUGACGAAUGUUCUAAAACGUGCUGUAAGGCAGACAUUUCCAAAUGUAACGGAGGAAAGUUUCGAGACAUGUAAUGGUUUCAACACGCUGCUGAGACCCAACUCAAGAGACGUCAGUUUGUACUGUUUUGUCCAUUUUCUAUUGGGCAUGCUUGUAUGGAGAGGUAUAUAUAUUGGAGUACAGACAUGGUGUUUGGUAUGAGUAUUAUAUACAUCCUCUUGAGUCAAAGAGGACCGGUAGCCACUUUGAACUCCGUGUCCGAAAGGGUCAAAGUAUGGAGCUCCCGGUACUCAGAAAAAAAAUUCUGGCCUAUUAGUUUUGAACUUUCGAGUCAAGUUUGGUGUCAUUUUUAUGUAAACUGUUCGCUUCAUUUUUAAAUUGAAGAAGAUUAAAAAUCACAGUAAUAUUAUUAAGGCAAAAGUUUGUGAGCAUACUGUGUUUGUUACUUCCUCACGCCACGCCCAAGUGCCUUAACAAAUAUUAUUUAUAAAAUUAAGUAUGGAGGAAGUAAGAUAUACCCUAAGUUAACACGUCGCUUCUUCUUGAUCGUGGGUAACACUCGGGGCGCAGUAUAAUGAUUAUUAAAAAUCUUUAUGCUGUCCCCUAUGCUGCGAUGGCGAUCGUUGCAGUACUUUCAAUAUUUUUUUUACAUCAAAUAUUAGAAUCAUCAAAGAUCACUAAUAAAAUAGGCUUU
Long non-coding RNA from Leguminivora glycinivorella, 2064 nucleotides. RefSeq lists it as uncharacterized. The transcript is spliced from 4 exons. NCBI's taxonomy places the organism in Eukaryota, Metazoa, Arthropoda, Insecta, Lepidoptera, Tortricidae. The record is from RefSeq and is a predicted model, not a curated record.